AUAGAAAUUAGAGACCAAGUAUAUGAUGAGAAGGGCAAUACAGUCACAAUCACUGUUGUUUGUUGUAAUCCUGAAAAACUUCGUGACAAAUUGUGUAGUAAAGGAUGUGGAGUAAUCAAAAGAAUUGAAAUCAAAGACCCUCCGAAGCCCAAACCUCCUGAAAAGCCCAAAGAGCCCGAAAAGCCCAAACAACCUGAAAAGCCUAAAGAACCUGAAAAACCUAAGCCCAAAGAGCCCGAAAAGCCUAAACCCAAAGAGCCUGAAAAGCCCAAAGAGCCUGAAAAGCCUAAAGAGCCCGAAAAACCUAAGCCCAAAGAGCCCGAAAAGCCCAAAGAAGGUCCUAA
Molecule: long non-coding RNA, 344 nt
Filed under: Solanum tuberosum (potato)
Lineage: Eukaryota; Viridiplantae; Streptophyta; Magnoliopsida; Solanales; Solanaceae
Description: long non-coding RNA (STUB_LNC010344)
Source: RNAcentral